UCCUUGGGAGGAACGUUUUCCCCCUUUUCUGGUUUACAAGACCAGGGUAAUGUGCGACG
Molecule: transfer RNA, 59 nt
Filed under: Equus caballus (horse)
Lineage: Eukaryota; Metazoa; Chordata; Mammalia; Perissodactyla; Equidae
Description: partial transfer RNA-Thr
Source: RNAcentral